This 628-nucleotide long non-coding RNA is filed under the name Helianthus annuus (common sunflower). Its description in RNAcentral is "hypothetical non coding rna". Lineage: Eukaryota; Viridiplantae; Streptophyta; Magnoliopsida; Asterales; Asteraceae. The record is from RNAcentral.
AAACAUCAAAUCCAAUUCUAACAAGAGUGAUCUCUGUCUAAUCCGAUAAAUCAUUGCGUGUAACCCGCAAAUAGGUUUAUCUGAUAGUUCUCAUACGAUUCAGAGAUUAAUCCAGAAAGUUGGACCGGGAUAAUAAUGAUUCCAACAAGAAACCAAAAGGGGGUUGUUGGAGAUGUGGCAAACCGGGGCAUUUCAAGAAAGAUUGUCGUGUGAAGAUUACUAGUGGAAACAAAGCUAACAUAGCGGGUCCAAGUGGGUCGAAAGAUCCGAAUGCUUCACAAGAUGACAUGCUUGCAUGGUGGGUAGACUCGGGUGCUACGAGUCACGUUUGCAAGGAUCUCAAAUGGUUUCAGGAAUUUGAACCACUUGAAGAUGGAUCUGUACUAAGGAUGGGGAAUGUUGCAACUGAGCCCAUCAAAGGAGUUGGAAAAGUUAGACUUGUAUUUACUUCUGGAAAACAUCUAUUAUUAGAUAAUGUGUUGUAUGUACCAGGGAUUCGAAAGAAUCUCUUAUCUGGAAUUGUAUUAAACAACUGUGGUUAUAAACAGGUCAUUGAGUCGGAUAAGUUUAUCUUGUCUCGACAUGGAACCUUUGUAGGAUUUGGAUAUUUAUGUAAUGGCAUGUUUAU